UUAUUUUGGUUAUAGGAGUUAAAGAGCAAGACCAAGGCACACGUUAUUCUAGUUCUCCCUCAUCAAUUAAUCAUAUUAAUGCUACACGUUCUUUUGUUGCCUAAUUAGAUAGCCAAAUACACGUUGCUAUUUACCUAGUCAAUCCUCCUAAUUGUUCAGUAGUGGCUGAGAAACAAUAACAACCUUUAAACAUCCAAUGCAUUUAAAUAUGAUAAGGGAACCAUUUUUUUGAGGCUAUGCAAUCAACAUUAGUAGAAAUCAUGGGAGAGUCUUUUCCUAGAAAUUUGAUUUACAAUUCUCUUCCUUGGACUACACGACCAACUCAUCUUUCUCUACUAUCAAUAUAUAUACCCUCAUUUUCAUUGCUCAACUUAAGCCGGUACCAUGCAUUUCUUUUCUCUCACACGUUGAACAGUGUAUUAUGACCAUCAAGGUAUUCUAAUUCCUUGAAUUCAUUAGUUUGGUUUGUUACAUUAAUACAAUUAUCCAAAUCAAGAAAACAAACCCCCUCCCACGCAUAUGGCUUCACGCAAAACCAUCCCUUAUCAAAAAGUUCUCUUAUUAUUUCUUAUGGUCUUUGAGCAUACAUCUCCAACAUUCCAUUGAUUCACAUGUUGUAUACAAAUAUCUUCCAAGUCCAUCGAUCAAUUCCUAAGCCCUCAUCUUGUCAAAUAAUUUUCGUAGAAUUGUGUCUACGCCUUCGUUCACCGUUCGAUUGAGCUAAUUUUUGGGCAGCAUGUUUGCAACAUGCAGUUCUUCAUUUUCAACGGCCUGAUCGUCAAAUUAAUGACUGGAGCGAGAGAAAUCGUGUCUGCACCGUAGCUGUGAGUUUAAGGUGGUUUAGAGUUCGGCUAGGAAGAAAAGAUCUCGAGGUACCAAAGGAGAUAAUGAUGUAUGCUUGAUGUUUUGCUUGAAGUGUGUAUGCGGGGAAACAAAUUUGGGUUUUUCUGAAUUGUAAUUUAAAAUAGUUUUUGAAGUUUAUUACUUUCAUAGUGAACUCGA
Molecule: long non-coding RNA, 1002 nt
Organism: Medicago truncatula (barrel medic)
Lineage: Eukaryota; Viridiplantae; Streptophyta; Magnoliopsida; Fabales; Fabaceae
Exons: 3
Source: RefSeq, a predicted model, not a curated record